UAUCACUGUAUGAAUGGAGAGCGAGACAUUACUAUGUGAUAUCACGAAGGAACUGCCCCGGGAGACAGUUCCUCCGUGAUAUCACGUGAUAAAGUCUCGCUCUAUAAGUCUGAGUCCUCGAUUGGUUUCUUUGACAAUCUGGCGUAGUCGGCAGGAUCCCUAACAAACUGGAUCUGGACAGGGAAAACCGCACUCAAUGGGAAAAUACCGGCCGUGACCCAGACCUGAGGGAGAACCCCAAGAGGGGACAGGAAUAAAAAUAUCCCACGAGAGAAAGAGUAAGGCUGCUUUUUUAACACCAUCAGUAAUUUGAAUCCAUUUUAUGAAAUGCUGACAUUAGUAUUUACAGGGAUUUUUGCUUAUGCCGUGCUCACUGGCUUCAUCAGUUUGAACUAAUGAAUCACCUUCAGCUAGAAUUUAAGCUGUGAGAUGUUUACAAAUAGGCGUAAUAGCUUUGCUGCAUUUCCUGUAUCCAUUCAUCCAGAAGGUAUAAAUUAUGGAUAACAUUAGAAAUAUGAAUGCGGUUGAAACAAGAGGAAAUGAACUAUUGAGAGCAAUAGUUUAACCAACUAAAUUCACAUUUAUGACAUAUUAAAACAAUUAACUAGAAAACGCAUAAGGACACAGCAGGAUAAAUACCAUCCAAAAAUGUGUUGAAAUUCUAUUAACUGGAGAUCAAUUUGUUGUGAAUAUGACUUUGUGCCAGCGACUGGAAUAUAAAGUGAUGUGUAUAAAGCAUGCAAGUAAAAACUGUACUGAAAAAUGUACUUGGAUUAGCAGCAAAGGAGAAAAGAAGAAAUGCUUUGAAGGCUAAAGUAAGGAUAACAUGCGUCGUGGCCAAAGACAUUAGUUCUCCAUGUCAAUAUCUACAAAAUUUUUCCUCUGCUGUUAUAUAUGUGUAACAACUUUUCCCUGCCAAAGGCUAAUAUACUGGUGUAGCUCCUGAUAUUAGUGUCUAUUGGUCUUCAACUUUAGUUUUGGUUUAGUUUAGACAGCAGCUUCAAGUUCCUCGGUGUGCACAUCACUGAGGACCUCUCUUGGACACUGCACACGGACACAGUAACUAAGAAAGCCCGCCAGCGGCUCUUUUUCCUGCGAAGACUGAGGAAGUUUGGCAUGAACUCCAGCAUCCUCACAAACUUUUACAGAUGCACCAUCGAGAGUCUGCUGACGGGCUGCAUCACAGUCUGGUACGGGAACUGUUCUGCCCACAGCCGCAAAUCACUACAGAUAGUGGUGAAGGCGGCACAGCACAUCACUGGCAACUGUCUCCUGGCCAUUCAGGACAUUUUCUACAGGCGGUGCCUGCGGAAGGCACACAGCAUCAUCAAGGACCACAGCCAGCCAGCUCGCAGACCGUUCUCCGUGUUACCGUCAGGCAGACGUUACAGGAGCAUGGCUGCACGCACCACUAGACUUAAGAACAUUUUUUAUCAUCAUACCAUCAGGCUUCUGAACUCAUAAAAGCAUCAAAAACGUCGAUUAUUUUAUUUAUCAUUGUCUUUUAUCUACCAAUGUCACGUUUAUCUUAUCUUUUUUUACCUUAAUUCUAUCCUUGUAAUAUCAUUGCUGAGGUGACCCGUUGUCUUGUCUAACACAUUUCAUUGUACCGUUGAUCCUGUGUUAACCUACAUAUGACAAAUAAAACUGAACUGA
Molecule: long non-coding RNA, 1656 nt
Organism: Amblyraja radiata (thorny skate)
Lineage: Eukaryota; Metazoa; Chordata; Chondrichthyes; Rajiformes; Rajidae
Exons: 2
Source: RefSeq, a predicted model, not a curated record